This 1579-nucleotide small RNA is filed under the name Pan troglodytes (chimpanzee). RNAcentral's name for it is "processed transcript". Lineage: Eukaryota; Metazoa; Chordata; Mammalia; Primates; Hominidae. The record is from RNAcentral.
CACGGAGGGGAGGGGGCGGGAGGGGGGUGGGGUAUCCUGAGUCGUCCGUGGUCCGGAGUCUGGAAGGCCCUAGAGCGGCGCCAGUCGACCCGCCUCGCCACAACUUGCCCAGACCAGACACGUUUCAUCCUGCGCCCUGCAAGAAGGAGUCGGCCUGCCUUUCUCCGCUUUGCUGCUCCUCGGCCUCCGCGGGCCCGGCCCGCGUCAGCAGCGACCCUGGGGUCUGGGUCCCCUGUGUCGCCCCCGCCCGCCUGCAGCGCCCGGCACCCGCCCAGGAGCGCGCAGCUGGGGUGCUAGGGACAUAUACUUGAGCAAGAGAGACCACAGCUCUUGUUCCCGCUGAUCCUGCAGCCCAGUGGAUGGAGUCCAGAAUCUACAGACCUGCCAGGAAAGAAAAAAAAUUCCUGAUGUCUGGUCCAAGCAGGAAUUCCCCGGUGGAUUGGGGAAUGUCUGGCUUUUCCUCAGCUUAUUGAUCUCUGUGGUAACCACUGGAGGCCCCCAGAAGACCCAUAGAAAUGAGAGGCCUGAGGUCUACAAGUCGCUGCUAGAAAUAUUUUAGCCUCUCCAAAGCCCAGAAUGCAGCCCCGACCCAAGUUUGUAAGGGUUCUGGGUGCACGCUGACCCUGCGCGGGCAGACGCGCCCUUUGCUCCAGGUCCGGACCUGGGCGCUGCUAUAGCAACGUCCUGGACGCCCAGACCUUAGGCCGCCGCCGCCGCGGAAGCGAGGAACCCGGCCUUCUCCCGCUCCUGAGGGCUGUGGCGGCGGCGGCCCGGGAGGCGGCCCAGGCAGGGUAAAGACCGCCCGGCUCCUCCUAUGCAAGCUGAGGCAGCGGAUUGAUUUUCAAGCAUGCCCUUCCAGAAGCAUGUCUACUACCCGCUCACCAGCGGCCCAGAGGGGCCCGACGUCGCUGUGGCCGCCGCCGCCGCGGGUGCGGCCUCCAUGGCCUGUGCGCCCCCCAGCGCGGCUUCGGGGCCCCUGCCCUUCUUCCAGUUCAGGCCGCGGCUGGAGAGUGUGGACUGGCGGCGGCUGAGCGCCAUCGACGUGGACAAGGUGGCGGGGGCUGUGGACGUGCUGACGCUGCAGGAGAACAUCAUGAACAUCACCUUCUGCAAGCUGGAAGACGAGAAGUGCCCACACUGCCAGUCGGGGGUGGACCCGGUGCUGCUGAAGCUCAUCCGUCUGGCGCAGUUCACCAUCGAGUACUUGCUGCACUCACAAGAGUUCCUCACCUCGCAGCUGCACACCCUGGAGGAGCGGCUGCGCCUGAGCCACUGUGACAGCGAGCAGAGCAAGAAGCUGCUCACCAAGCAGGCGGGGGAGAUCAAGACGCUCAAGGAAGAGUGCAAACGCAGGAAGAAGAUGAUCUCCACCCAGCAGCUGAUGAUCGAGGCCAAAGCCAACUAUUACCAGGAUUGUCAAAAUGAUUUUUCUUACCCAGAAGGCCCAAGAGUUCUGCAUUUCUUCAACUCUAUCAAGUUUGAAAGACAUAUUGGAUGAAGAAUAUUCUUAGUCACACUUUCCCUCUGAACUUUUUGAUGUGGUUCCUUUGUCUUCUGGCAGUAAAUGUUGCUGUGAGAA